This 67-nucleotide transfer RNA is filed under the name Aleurocanthus camelliae (camellia spiny whitefly). RNAcentral describes it as "tRNA-Met". The record is from RNAcentral. Lineage: Eukaryota; Metazoa; Arthropoda; Insecta; Hemiptera; Aleyrodidae.
AGAUAGAUAAGCUAAGUUAAAAGCUAUUGGACUCAUAUUUCAACUAUAAAUAUAAAUUUUCUAUCUA